CAAGGUUUCCAGGGGAAGGUUCGUCCGCCCUGGGUUAGUCGGGACCUAAGCUGAGGCCGAAAGGCGUAGGUGAUGGACAACAGGUUGAUAUUCCUGUACUACCGAUAACCGUUUGAGAGAAGGGAUGACACAGUAGGAUAAGCUAAGCACACUGUUGGUUAUGUGUGCCCAAGCAUUGAGGCAGUCAAAGUAGGCAAAUCCGCUUUGAUAAUGCUGGGAUGUGAUGGGGAGCGAAAUUUAGUAGCGAAGUAGCUGAUUUCACACUGUCAAGAAAAGUCUCUAUCGAGGUUAAAGGUACCCGUACCGCAAACCGACACAGGUGGGUGAGGAGAGUAUCCUAAGGCCAGCGAGAGAACUGUUGUUAAGGAACUCGGCAAAAUGACCCCGUAACUUAGGGAUAAGGGGUGCCACCAUCAGGUGGCCGCAGAGAAUAGGCCCAAGCGACUGUUUACCAAAAACAUAGGUUUCUGCUAAGUCGCAAGACGAUGUAUAGGAGCUGACGCCUGCCCGGUGCUGGAAGGUUAAGGGGAUCUGUUAGAG
This 540-nucleotide ribosomal RNA is filed under the name Clostridioides difficile. RNAcentral's name for it is "partial 23S ribosomal RNA". It matches the Rfam family "Bacterial large subunit ribosomal RNA", at positions 1346 to 1895 of the family's 2925-position model. Lineage: Bacteria; Bacillati; Bacillota; Clostridia; Peptostreptococcales; Peptostreptococcaceae. The record is from RNAcentral.